CCCGCGGUAAUUUGUCCCUGCGAAGGUAGCAUAGUCAGUAGUCUUUUAAUUGAAGGCUUGAAUGAAAGGUUGGACGAGGGAUGAGCUGUCUCCUUUACGUAAUUUGAAUUUAACUUUUGAGUGAAAAGGCUCAAAUUAUUUAGUGGGACGAUAAGACCCUAUAAAACCUUAUAUAAGUUUAAUUUGGCUUACAAUUUGAGUGAAAAGUAGCUUUAUUAGGUUUAUAUUUCGUUGGGGAGAUGUAGAUAUAAUGUGUAACUGUCUGUUUAAUUUAAUAAUUAUAAUUAGUGUGUGAUCCUUCUUUGUGGAUUAAAAGUAUAAGUUACUUUAGGGAUAACAGCGUGAUUUUCUUUGAGAGUUCUUAUCGACAAGAGUAGUUGCGACCUCGAUGUUGAAUUAAAAUUUCAGUUAGGUGUAGCCGUCUAGCUGGUAGGUCUGUACGUCCGUC
Molecule: ribosomal RNA, 448 nt
Filed under: Macrobrachium nipponense
Lineage: Eukaryota; Metazoa; Arthropoda; Malacostraca; Decapoda; Palaemonidae
Description: partial 16S ribosomal RNA
Rfam family: Bacterial large subunit ribosomal RNA
Source: RNAcentral